CUGCCAAGGGGGCGGGCAUGCGCUGUUGUUCAACUCAUUGGCCAGAGCAGUGUCACAUGACUGCCUGCAGAGGGGCGGGAAAUGUCAUGUUUCCAUCUCAUUGGCCAGAGCGGCUUCACCUGACUGCAGACAGAGGGCUGUGAUGUUUUUAAGUAGAAGCAUUGUUGUCCUUGACAAAGUAGAGGCCGUGUUAACAAAAGAGAAAAGGAAGGAUACCAUCUAUCAGAAGUUACCUCAGCAAUUUAAUAACAGCUUCUGAGGGGGAAAGAAAACAGAAAGAAGGAUGAAAUUAAAUGUCUAGAUCAAUUGAAAGAAGCAUCUUCUUUUGGACAGUUUGAAAUGUAUGCCCCAGAAUUGAAGAAAUGCAAUAUUAAUAUCAAAAGGCGGUUUCUAGAUUUCGGAUUCCUGGAAACGCUCCCAGGAACCGCCAAAGAGGAAGAGCAGAAGCAGCGCUGUUCCCGCGAACAGAGUAGAGUUCUAUUCUGCUACCAACUGGCCGAGGGACGCGGGGACGUCCCCUGCUCACUGUCUUCAGUUUUCUGUGGGACAAUGAGCCUCAGGCCUCCUAGCCCUGACUCUGGCAGAAGAGCAAAUUCCUUGGCCUGACCCAGCGGCACGUGCGGGCUCCUGGGGAGGGGCGUGGCCGACCCGGCCUCCCCCAGUGACCUGCACCUCCCCUCAGGCCCAGAGUGAAGAGCAGGGCAGCGGAGGCCACACUGCCAGGACCCUGGGCCUCGGGACGCAGCAGGCCGGGUUCCCAGCCUCCUCCCUGUGCGUUUGCUGGAGUCCUGUACCCACUCUUGGCGCCAGCCUGUCCCCAUCUCUGCCCUCCCCGCCCUGCCAUCCUAGACUGGCUCCCAGGAUGCCUGGAAGGCAGACUCUGGCAGCCUGUGAGUGGGUGGGAGGGAGGGCAGGACCCCAGAGGAGAAGGGAGAAGAAAUCAUGGGCUCCAAGUGGGUGCAUUUACUCCCAUCUGCUCCAGGUUAUCUUUAAAUAGGAUAAAAUUACCCUCUCAGCUCCUUUAUCUCCAUGCAGUACUUCUAAAAAAAGAGCAUCUUGACAUUUUAGGAGGAAAAAAAUAAGGAGAAGAUGAGACAUGUAAUAUCCAGUGUAUACUGAGGAUGGAGAAAUUUCAAUGAACUCAUAGUCAAACCUCCUUAAUGUCUUGAAAAAGAAAACCACACCGGGGUCUGAUGUCGGGAGGGGAGGAGAGUAUUCCAGGAGGAAAGCCCGGCUCCGAGGUAGAAAGAAGGCUGUGGGGAGGGGGUGGGGCAGGUUGGUCCCCUGGAGCUGGGGUCUGAGACAGGCCGUUGGGGUUUGGGGGGCUGAUGCAAGAACUCUGGGACUCAAGCGCCCCAGGACUCUGCACUCACUACCCACCCCCCCCCCCCCACUUGCUUUCUACCCCUUUGCAAACUGGCUCCUGGCCCCCCUGCUAGUGAGACUCUCUCCAUGGUAAGGCCUCACCAGCAAGUCCUUGCCUUGGCUGUCAGCUCCCGCCCUCUCCCCACGCCCACCCUCUCCCUGGUCAGCCAGGACCCUGUGCUCCCUGGUGGCCCUCUUCUGUCCACUCUGUUUCUGCUCUUCACUGCUCCUUCUCUGAAGAUGCCCCCAAGCUGUGUUCCCUAGUCCCUUCUCCUUGACCUGCUAACAGACCUGGGACUCAGGGACAUGGGAAGGAGACUUCGGUCAAGGUCACAGCAACAGGCACUAGAAGCAGAGUGAUGGGUCUUCGAGCUGAUGUGAGACUGCAGGCAGCACGUUCAAGGAGAAAGAGGAUGAACUUGGAAGCAGACACACCUGCCUUCAGAUCCUGGUUCUAUCAUUUGCCAGCCACGUGACCUUGGGCAAGUCACCCUCAACCCUCUGAUGACACAUUUCUCCACAGGAGCAACCUGCCAGGGUUCCUGCGAGGCUGGGCCCAGUGUCUGACACACAUCUGCUCCAGAGGAUGAAUGCUAACCUCUUUUCUAGAAUUUCUCCAGUUUCUUUUAAUCAUCUGUUUAUUUGCCUGUGGUCCUCACAGGCUCGAGAGCUCCUGAAGGCAGGAAUCGCAUCUGUGCUCUCAGCUUCAAGUCCCGUGUGGGCAAGGCAUCAGUUGCCGGUACAGGCGGCCUGACCUCGUGGGACACCUGGGCUCUCGAACACUGCUUUGCCUGAGUCCUUGCCUUCUCUUCCUUGAAGCACUGCGCAUGGAUCAGAGCUCCUUGCAAAUGGCUUCAGUAGAUACAAUAUUGCUAAUUGGAAACAACGAGAAUGACUUUAUACCCUGUAUCUUUUUGAAAUCUCUACGCUCUAAGGAUUAUUUGUAUCCUACGAGAGGCCCAAAGAUGGUCCAAAGAAAAUAACACUGUCCACAAACUACUGGAGCGCCUGCCUGAGAACCGCAGGACUCAGGAUCGUCAGCCUCCCGGGACGCGGUGGCGGGAUGACGGAGUUCUCCUCCAGGUCCCCCGAGAAUGCUGUCCUCGCCCCGCAGGCGUCUUCGCUGCAGGCUGAGUAGGACUCUGAGAUGGUCUUGUGCACGCUGAGCCCAACUGCUGGUCCGUGUCGACUGCAACCUGACUGACAGAGACCAAUAAAAAUAAUAUGACCCUUUCCUUUUGAAAUGUCCUCUAAUAACUCCAUUAGUUUCGCAGCCAAACCAAGGCAUGGAAAUUCCAGAACAACAGAGAAGUUUGUGCCACUCCCCCCCAGCUAUGGGGACUGUUCUCCCAAUCACAUAACUCGUAACCUCACCAAGGGCCUCUGUAGCCGUGAAAUGCUCUGGCCAGUGGGUGAGGGGCUGUAGGUGGACAGUGUCUGUGGGCAGACCAAGCUAAUGUUGUUGGAGCGGAGCAGGUCACCGCAGGGGAGGGCCCUGGGAGUGGUCACCAUGCUACAGCCACCGCUGCAGCCCAGCGUGACCUGGACAGCCCUGCUGGAAGUCGUGCUGUGCCCGGUCCCUGCAGGGCCGGCCGAGGAACGUCUAUAUUCAUUUCUUGAACUUCGUUCUGUUCCAUUUUCAUUCAAAUGACUUCCUGAAACCGAUUUUCUGGGCCCCUGGUGGCAUUUCCAUUCAUGCUUGCUCACUUUUAUUGACUUUUAUGGCAUCGUCUCUGGAACGGGUUCAUUAAUUUCCUCCUUUUCUUUCUUAAGAUACACCAGCUCAUUUUUCAACACUUUCUUUUUGUAGCUCUCAUCAAUAACUCUUCUUCGAGCCCUUGGGUCUUUCAGUUUUUCAUUUUGUUUCGUGUCUGGCCAUCCUGCUAGCUUGCCUAAGCAUUUCUUGUGGUUCUUGGGUAAUUCUAUUUAUUUGGGGGUGGGGGAGGGUAGCUCUUCUUAUGAAGUAAGUUCUUCAUUUAACUUUUGGUUAUGUUCCUUUUUUCUCAUGGUAUUUCCUUCAUGAGGGGCUGUUUCUCUGUACAAGCUCUUGUGUUCGUUCCUUGAUGGUGAUUAUUUACUUCUGAAUAGACCUGACCAUUUAUUGGAGCAGAAGGGGUGGGGAGCAGAUGGUCCCAGCUUCCAUUUGGGUUGUCAUCUCAAACAUCCUCACCCCAGAUACGUCAUUUCCUUUGUCCAAGGCGGGUGAGAUGUCCCCGCAGCUUUCGGUGGUCAAGAAUUGAGCAUGGCUUGCUGAAUCGGGGCACUGGGUCUCCUGUGG
RNAcentral lists this long non-coding RNA (3643 nucleotides) under Equus caballus (horse). RNAcentral's name for it is "lncRNA (ENSECAG00000059779.1)". The record is from RNAcentral. Lineage: Eukaryota; Metazoa; Chordata; Mammalia; Perissodactyla; Equidae.